Molecule: ribosomal RNA, 253 nt
Filed under: uncultured bacterium
Lineage: Bacteria
Description: partial 16S ribosomal RNA
Rfam family: Bacterial small subunit ribosomal RNA
Source: RNAcentral
UACGUAGGGGGCAAGCGUUGUCCGGAAUCAUUGGGCGUAAAGAGCGUGUAGGCGGUUCAGUAAGUCUGCUGUGAAAGUCCAAGGCUCAACCUUGGGAUGCCGGUGGAUACUGCUGAGCUAGAGUACGGAAGAGGCGAGUGGAAUUCCCGGUGUAGCGGUGAAAUGCGCAGAUAUCGGGAGGAACACCAAUGGCGAAGGCAGCUCGCUGGGACGUUACUGACGCUGAGACGCGAAAGCGUGGGGAGCAAACAGG